RNAcentral lists this ribosomal RNA (200 nucleotides) under uncultured bacterium. Its description in RNAcentral is "partial 16S ribosomal RNA". It matches the Rfam family "Bacterial small subunit ribosomal RNA", at positions 8 to 202 of the family's 1533-position model. The record is from RNAcentral.
AGAGUUUGAUCAUGGCUCAGGAUGAACGCUAGCGGCAGGCUUAACACAUGCAAGUCGAGGGGCAGCGCGGGUAGCAAUACCUGGCGGCGACCGGCAAACGGGUGCGGAACACGUACAGAACCUACCUCAGUCUGGGGCAUAGCCCGGAGAAAUCCGGAUUAACUCCCCAUAGCAUUAUAGAGUGGCAUCACUCAGUAAUU